RNAcentral lists this ribosomal RNA (75 nucleotides) under Palicella filamentosa. RNAcentral's name for it is "partial 18S ribosomal RNA". The record is from RNAcentral. Lineage: Eukaryota; Fungi; Ascomycota; Lecanoromycetes; Lecanorales; Lecanoraceae.
UCUUGGUCAUUUAGAGGAAGUAAAUUUAGAUNCGUAACAAGGUUUCCNGUAGGAGGAACCUGCGGAAGGAUCAUU